AGAGUUUGAUCCUGGCUCAGGACGAACGCUGGCGGCGUGCCUAAUACAUGCAAGUAGAACGCUGAAGAGAGGAGCUUGCUCUUCUUGGAUGAGUUGCGAACGGGUGAGUAACGCGUAGGUAACCUGCCUUGUAGCGGGGGAUAACUAUUGGAAACGAUAGCUAAUACCGCAUAACAAUGGAUGACACAUGUCAUUUAUUUGAAAGGGGCAAUUGCUCCACUACAAGAUGGACCUGCGUUGUAUUAGCUAGUAGGUGAGGUAAUGGCUCACCUAGGCGACGAUACAUAGCCGACCUGAGAGGGUGAUUGGCCACACUGGGACUGAGACACGGCCCAGACUCCUACGGGAGGCAGCAGUAGGGAAUCUUCGGCAAUGGGGGCAACCCUGACCGAGCAACGCCGCGUGAGUGAAGAAGGUUUUCGGAUCGUAAAGCUCUGUUGUAAGUCAAGAACGGGUGUGAGAGUGGAAAGUUCACACUGUGACGGUAGCUUACCAGAAAGGGACGGCUAACUACGUGCCAGCAGCCGCGGUAAUACGUAGGUCCCGAGCGUUGUCCGGAUUUAUUGGGCGUAAAGCGAGCGCAGGCGGUUUGAUAAGUCUGAAGUUAAAGGCUGUGGCUCAACCAUAGUUCGCUUUGGAAACUGUCAAACUUGAGUGCAGAAGGGGAGAGUGGAAUUCCAUGUGUAGCGGUGAAAUGCGUAGAUAUAUGGAGGAACACCGGUGGCGAAAGCGGCUCUCUGGUCUGUAACUGACGCUGAGGCUCGAAAGCGUGGGGAGCGAACAGGAUUAGAUACCCUGGUAGUCCACGCCGUAAACGAUGAGUGCUAGGUGUUGGAUCCUUUCCGGGAUUCAGUGCCGCAGCUAACGCAUUAAGCACUCCGCCUGGGGAGUACGACCGCAAGGUUGAAACUCAAAGGAAUUGACGGGGGCCCGCACAAGCGGUGGAGCAUGUGGUUUAAUUCGAAGCAACGCGAAGAACCUUACCAGGUCUUGACAUCCCGAUGCUAUUUCUAGAGAUAGAAAGUUACUUCGGUACAUCGGUGACAGGUGGUGCAUGGUUGUCGUCAGCUCGUGUCGUGAGAUGUUGGGUUAAGUCCCGCAACGAGCGCAACCCCUAUUGUUAGUUGCCAUCAGGUAAGGCUGGGCACUCUGGACAGACUGCCGGGGAUAACCCGGAGGAAGGCGGGGAUGACGUCAAAUCAUCAUGCCCCUUACGGCCUGGGCUACACACGUGCUACAAUGGCGUAAACAAAGGGAAGCGAGAGGGUGACCUGGAGCGAAUCCCAAAAAUAACGUCCCAGUUCGGACUGUAGUCUGCAACCCGACUACACGAAGCUGGAAUCGCUAGUAAUCGCGAAUCAGCAUGUCGCGGUGAAUACGUUCCCGGGUCUUGUACACACCGCCCGUCA
RNAcentral lists this ribosomal RNA (1409 nucleotides) under uncultured bacterium. RNAcentral describes it as "bacterial SSU rRNA". It matches the Rfam family "Bacterial small subunit ribosomal RNA". The record is from RNAcentral.